GGGUUGUGAGGUUAAGCGACUAAGCGUACACGGUGGAUGCCCUGGCAGUCAGAGGCGAUGAAGGACGUGCUAAUCUGCGAUAAGCGUCGGUAAGGUGAUAUGAACCGUUAUAACCGGCGAUUUCCGAAUGGGGAAACCCAGUGUGAUUCGUCACACUAUCAUUAACUGAAUCCAUAGGUUAAUGAGGCGAACCGGGGGAACUGAAACAUCUAAGUACCCCGAGGAAAAGAAAUCAACCGAGAUUCCCCCAGUAGCGGCGAGCGAACGGGGAGGAGCCCAGAGCCUGAAUCAGUGUGUGUGUUAGUGGAAGCGUCUGGAAAGGCGCGCGAUACAGGGUGACAGCCCCGUACACAAAAAUGCACAUGCUGUGAGCUCGAUGAGUAGGGCGGGACACGUGGUAUCCUGUCUGAAUAUGGGGGGACCAUCCUCCAAGGCUAAAUACUCCUGACUGACCGAUAGUGAACCAGUACCGUGAGGGAAAGGCGAAAAGAACCCCGGCGAGGGGAGUGAAAAAGAACCUGAAACCGUGUACGUACAAGCAGUGGGAGCACGCUUAGGCGUGUGACUGCGUACCUUUUGUAUAAUGGGUCAGCGACUUAUAUUCUGUAGCAAGGUUAACCGAAUAGGGGAGCCGAAGGGAAACCGAGUCUUAACUGGGCGUUAAGUUGCAGGGUAUAGACCCGAAACCCGGUGAUCUAGCCAUGGGCAGGUUGAAGGUUGGGUAACACUAACUGGAGGACCGAACCGACUAAUGUUGAAAAAUUAGCGGAUGACUUGUGGCUGGGGGUGAAAGGCCAAUCAAACCGGGAGAUAGCUGGUUCUCCCCGAAAGCUAUUUAGGUAGCGCCUCGUGAAUUCAUCUCCGGGGGUAGAGCACUGUUUCGGCAAGGGGGUCAUCCCGACUUACCAACCCGAUGCAAACUGCGAAUACCGGAGAAUGUUAUCACGGGAGACACACGGCGGGUGCUAACGUCCGUCGUGAAGAGGGAAACAACCCAGACCGCCAGCUAAGGUCCCAAAGUCAUGGUUAAGUGGGAAACGAUGUGGGAAGGCCCAGACAGCCAGGAUGUUGGCUUAGAAGCAGCCAUCAUUUAAAGAAAGCGUAAUAGCUCACUGGUCGAGUCGGCCUGCGCGGAAGAUGUAACGGGGCUAAACCAUGCACCGAAGCUGCGGCAGCGACGCUUAUGCGUUGUUGGGUAGGGGAGCGUUCUGUAAGCCUGUGAAGGUGUACUGUGAGGUAUGCUGGAGGUAUCAGAAGUGCGAAUGCUGACAUAAGUAACGAUAAAGCGGGUGAAAAGCCCGCUCGCCGGAAGACCAAGGGUUCCUGUCCAACGUUAAUCGGGGCAGGGUGAGUCGACCCCUAAGGCGAGGCCGAAAGGCGUAGUCGAUGGGAAACAGGUUAAUAUUCCUGUACUUGGUGUUACUGCGAAGGGGGGACGGAGAAGGCUAUGUUGGCCGGGCGACGGUUGUCCCGGUUUAAGCGUGUAGGCUGGUUUUCCAGGCAAAUCCGGAAAAUCAAGGCUGAGGCGUGAUGACGAGGCACUACGGUGCUGAAGCAACAAAUGCCCUGCUUCCAGGAAAAGCCUCUAAGCAUCAGGUAACAUCAAAUCGUACCCCAAACCGACACAGGUGGUCAGGUAGAGAAUACCAAGGCGCUUGAGAGAACUCGGGUGAAGGAACUAGGCAAAAUGGUGCCGUAACUUCGGGAGAAGGCACGCUGAUAUGUAGGUGAAGCGACUUGCUCGUGGAGCUGAAAUCAGUCGAAGAUACCAGCUGGCUGCAACUGUUUAUUAAAAACACAGCACUGUGCAAACACGAAAGUGGACGUAUACGGUGUGACGCCUGCCCGGUGCCGGAAGGUUAAUUGAUGGGGUUAGCGCAAGCGAAGCUCUUGAUCGAAGCCCCGGUAAACGGCGGCCGUAACUAUAACGGUCCUAAGGUAGCGAAAUUCCUUGUCGGGUAAGUUCCGACCUGCACGAAUGGCGUAAUGAUGGCCAGGCUGUCUCCACCCGAGACUCAGUGAAAUUGAACUCGCUGUGAAGAUGCAGUGUACCCGCGGCAAGACGGAAAGACCCCGUGAACCUUUACUAUAGCUUGACACUGAACAUUGAGCCUUGAUGUGUAGGAUAGGUGGGAGGCUUUGAAGUGUGGACGCCAGUCUGCAUGGAGCCGACCUUGAAAUACCACCCUUUAAUGUUUGAUGUUCUAACGUUGACCCGUAAUCCGGGUUGCGGACAGUGUCUGGUGGGUAGUUUGACUGGGGCGGUCUCCUCCUAAAGAGUAACGGAGGAGCACGAAGGUUGGCUAAUCCUGGUCGGACAUCAGGAGGUUAGUGCAAUGGCAUAAGCCAGCUUGACUGCGAGCGUGACGGCGCGAGCAGGUGCGAAAGCAGGUCAUAGUGAUCCGGUGGUUCUGAAUGGAAGGGCCAUCGCUCAACGGAUAAAAGGUACUCCGGGGAUAACAGGCUGAUACCGCCCAAGAGUUCAUAUCGACGGCGGUGUUUGGCACCUCGAUGUCGGCUCAUCACAUCCUGGGGCUGAAGUAGGUCCCAAGGGUAUGGCUGUUCGCCAUUUAAAGUGGUACGCGAGCUGGGUUUAGAACGUCGUGAGACAGUUCGGUCCCUAUCUGCCGUGGGCGCUGGAGAACUGAGGGGGGCUGCUCCUAGUACGAGAGGACCGGAGUGGACGCAUCACUGGUGUUCGGGUUGUCAUGCCAAUGGCACUGCCCGGUAGCUAAAUGCGGAAGAGAUAAGUGCUGAAAGCAUCUAAGCACGAAACUUGCCCCGAGAUGAGUUCUCCCUGACUCCUUGAGAGUCCUGAAGGAACGUUGAAGACGACGACGUUGAUAGGCCGGGUGUGUAAGCGCAGCGAUGCGUUGAGCUAACCGGUACUAAUGAACCGUGAGGCUUAACCUUACAACGCCGAAG
Molecule: ribosomal RNA, 2925 nt
Filed under: Escherichia coli
Lineage: Bacteria; Pseudomonadati; Pseudomonadota; Gammaproteobacteria; Enterobacterales; Enterobacteriaceae
Description: bacterial LSU rRNA
Rfam family: Bacterial large subunit ribosomal RNA
Source: RNAcentral